GACGAACGCUGGCGGCGUGCUUAACACAUGCAAGUCGAACGGAAAGGCCCUGCUUUUGUGGGGUGCUCGAGUGGCGAACGGGUGAGUAACACGUGAGUAACCUGCCCUUGACUUUGGGAUAACUUCAGGAAACUGGGGCUAAUACCGGAUAGGAGCUCCUGCUGCAUGGUGGGGGUUGGAAAGUUUCGGCAGUUGGGGAUGGACUCGCGGCUUAUCAGCUUGUUGGUGGGGUAGUGGUUUACCAAGGCUUUGACGGGUAGCCGGCCUGAGAGGGUGACCGGCCACAUUGGGACUGAGAUACGGCCCAGACUCCUACGGGAGGCAGCAGUGGGGAAUAUUGCACAAUGGGCGGAAGCCUGAUGCAGCAACGCCGCGUGCGGGAUGACGGCCUUCGGGUUGUAAACCGCUUUCGCCUGUGACGAAGCGUGAGUGACGGUAAUGGGUAAAGAAGCACCGGCUAACUACGUGCCAGCAGCCGCGGUAAUACGUAGGGUGCGAGCGUUAAUCGGAAUUACUGGGCGUAAAGCGGGCGCAGACGGUUACUUAAGCAGGAUGUGAAAUCCCCGGGCUCAACCUGGGAACUGCGUUCUGAACUGGGUGACUAGAGUGUGUCAGAGGGAGGUAGAAUUCCACGUGUAGCAGUGAAAUGCGUAGAGAUGUGGAGGAAUACCGAUGGCGAAGGCAGCCUCCUGGGAUAACACUGACGUUCAUGCCCGAAAGCGUGGGUAGCAAACAGGAUUAGAUACCCUGGUAGUCCACGCCCUAAACGAUGUCGAUUAGCUGUUGGGCAGCAUGACUGCUUAGUAGCGAAGCUAACGCGUGAAAUCGACCGCCUGGGGAGUACGGUCGCAAGAUUAAAACUCAAAGGAAUUGACGGGGACCCGCACAAGCGGUGGAUGAUGUGGAUUAAUUCGAUGCAACGCGAAGAACCUUACCUGGUCUUGACAUGUACGGAACCCUCCAGAGACGGAGGGGUGCCUUCGGGAGCCGUAACACAGGUGCUGCAUGGCUGUCGUCAGCUCGUGUCGUGAGAUGUUGGGUUAAGUCCCGCAACGAGCGCAACCCUUGUCAUUAGUUGCCAUCAUUAAGUUGGGCACUCUAAUGAGACUGCCGGUGACAAGCCGGAGGAAGGUGGGGAUGACGUCAAGUCCUCAUGGCCCUUAUGACCAGGGCUUCACACGUCAUACAAUGGUCGGUACAGAGGGUAGCCAAGCCGCGAGGUGGAGCCAAUCUCACAAAACCGAUCGUAGUCCGGAUUGCACUCUGCAACUCGAGUGCAUGAAGUCGGAAUCGCUAGUAAUCGCAGGUCAGCAUACUGCGGUGAAUAAGUUCCCGGGUCU
RNAcentral lists this ribosomal RNA (1340 nucleotides) under uncultured bacterium. Its description in RNAcentral is "partial 16S ribosomal RNA". It matches the Rfam family "Bacterial small subunit ribosomal RNA", at positions 28 to 1381 of the family's 1533-position model. The record is from RNAcentral.